Molecule: long non-coding RNA, 678 nt
Filed under: Oryza brachyantha (malo sina)
Lineage: Eukaryota; Viridiplantae; Streptophyta; Magnoliopsida; Poales; Poaceae
Description: long non-coding RNA (OBRA_LNC003024)
Source: RNAcentral
GGCGGUGGCCGGGCAGGCGGAGGUGUUCAAGGCGAGGUGCCCCGACACGCGCACGACGCCGACGGACGUGGAGGCGACGCCGCAGCGGGGCCUGGAGCCCGGCGAGCUCAAGGUCGUCUUCUGCCCGACGGCCGGAGACCACCUCGAUCUUGGACUCACUAACUAAUAUACUCCACUCAACUACGUUACUAAUCCUAAUGAUUAGUGGCAAAUUAAUCAUAAAUUAGAUAGGGCAUGCAAUUAACGCAAGUAGAGGAUGCGUCAUGCGUGCGUCGUGAUUGCAUUCAAGGUGCAUGGCGCGUCUCUCUUCAUCGGUUAGCCACAUAUAUUUAUUACUGUUAGAAAGGAAUGCAUGCUGUAGUUGUGAUCGUAUGAAUGAAUAAUAUAGUAUGUAUUUUUCAUCCUCCAAAUCAAAAUUAUUUGAACCACCCAUGUUUCUCACAAAUUUACAAAAUUUAUAAGGUUAAUCAAUGGCUGAGGAUUGAAACGUCUCUCUCGAUCAGUGCCCUGCUUAAUUGGUACUUAAGCAACAUGUAUGCAUAUAGUAUUUAUCACCAUUGCCGUCAGGGCUCUGAUACCACAUAUGCAUGCUUCAGUUCCCUUCAUCUUCAUUUCGACGUGCUGUCAUUUUCCUUAAUGUUCCUCCCUAUUAACGUUUCAGUUAAUAGCGCUAAAUAG